GAUGAAGACGUAGCGAAAUGCGAUACUUGGUGUGAAUUGCAGAAUCCCGUGAACCAUCGAGUCUUUGAACGCAAGUUGCGCCCGAAGCCAUUAGGCCGAGGGCACGCCUGCCUGGGCGUCACACGUCGUUGCCCCCCCAUCUACUCCUUCGGGAUUGCGGGGGGCGGAUGAUGGCCUCCCGUGCGCCUCGUCGCGCGGUUGGCAUAAAUGCCAAGUCCUCGGCGACGCACGCCACGACAAUCGGUGGUUGCGAAACCUCGGUUGCCCGUCGUGUGCGGUCGUCGCGCAUCGAGGGCUCGAAAAAAUUGCCGGGCUCCGGCUCGGCUUUCAACGCGACCCCAGGUCAGGCGGGGUUACCCGCUGAAUUUAAGCAUAUCAAUAAGCGGAGGA
RNAcentral lists this unclassified non-coding RNA (390 nucleotides) under soil metagenome. RNAcentral's name for it is "partial contains 5.8S ribosomal RNA, internal transcribed spacer 2, and large subunit ribosomal RNA". The stretch from base 1 to 121 matches the Rfam family "5.8S ribosomal RNA", at positions 35 to 154 of the family's 154-position model. The record is from RNAcentral.